This 917-nucleotide small RNA is filed under the name Pan troglodytes (chimpanzee). RNAcentral describes it as "processed transcript". Lineage: Eukaryota; Metazoa; Chordata; Mammalia; Primates; Hominidae. The record is from RNAcentral.
GUAUCUGCUUUGUCCCAGUUCUUCAUCCUGCUGCUGAUUAUCCUCCUUGCUGAGGUGACCUUGGCCAUCCUGCUCUUUGUAUAUGAACAGAAGCUGAAUGAGUAUGUGGCUAAGGGUCUGACCGACAGCAUCCACCGUUACCACUCAGACAAUAGCACCAAGGCAGCGUGGGACUCCAUCCAGUCAUUUGUGUUGGGGAUGUCCUUUGCACUGACCCUGAACUGCCAGAUUGACAAAACCAGCCAGACCAUAGGGCUAUGAUCUGCAGUGGUCCUGUGGUGAAGAGACUUGUUUCAUCUAUGGAAAUGCAAAACCAUUUAUAGCAUGAAGCCCUACAUGAUCACUGCGGGAUGAUCCUCCUCCCAUCCUUUCCCUUUUUAGGUCCCUGUCUUAUACAACCAGAGAAGUGGGUGUUGGCCAGGCAUAUCCCAUCUCAGGCAGCAAGACAAUCUUUCACUCACUGAUGGCAGCAGCCAUGUCUCUCAAAGUGGUGAAACUAAUAUCUGAGCAUCUUUUAGACAAGAGAGGCAAAGAGAAACUGGAUCUAAUGGCCCAACAUCAAAGGGUGAACCCAGGAUAUGAAUUUUUGCAUCUUCCCAUUGUCGAAUUAGUCUCCAGCCUCUAAAUAAUGCCCAGUCUUCUCCCCAAAGUCAAGCAAGAGACUAGUUGAAGGGAGUUCUGGGGCCAGGCUCACUGGACCAUUGUCACAACCCUCUGUUUCUCUUUGACUAAGAGCCCUGGCUACAGGAAUUACACAGUUCUCUUUCUCCAAAGGGCAAGAUCUCAUUUCAAUUUCUUUAUUAGAGGGCCUUAUUGAUGUGUUCUAAGUCUUUCCAGAAAAAAACUAUCCAGUGAUUUAUAUCCUGACUUCAACCAGUCACUUAGCUGAUAAUCACAGUAAGAAGACUUCUGGUAUU